RNAcentral lists this ribosomal RNA (234 nucleotides) under uncultured bacterium. RNAcentral describes it as "partial 16S ribosomal RNA". It matches the Rfam family "Bacterial small subunit ribosomal RNA", at positions 118 to 351 of the family's 1533-position model. The record is from RNAcentral.
UGAGUAACCUGCCCUUAACUCUGGGAUAAGCCUGGGAAACUGGGUCUAAUACCGGAUAUGACUCCUCAUCGCAUGGUGGGGGGGUGGAAAGCUUUUUGUGGUUUUGGAUGGACUCGCGGCCUAUCAGCUUGUUGGUGAGGUAAUGGCUCACCAAGGCGACGACGGGUAGCCGGCCUGAGAGGGUGACCGGCCACACUAGGACUGAGGCACGGCCCAGACUCCUACGGGAGGCAG